Non-coding RNA from Nylanderia fulva, 655 nucleotides. The record is from RefSeq and is a predicted model, not a curated record. NCBI's taxonomy places the organism in Eukaryota, Metazoa, Arthropoda, Insecta, Hymenoptera, Formicidae.
UGGGAAAUAAUAAUAGAAAAAAUAAAUAAUAAUAAAUAAUUAGAAAUAAUUAGUCCCUAGAAAUAUUUUUCUAGGGACUCUAGUUUCUACUUUUAGAUUCAGCAAAUAGGGUCAAAAAGUAGGCACAAAAGAGAAGAUGGUACAAAUAUUUAGAUUAUUGUUGUUAUAUACAUCGUCAAUUUCACUUAUAUUUUACUAAAAAAAUGAACUAUAACAUGAUUUUGACAAUGAUGACUUUCUCGAGGUCUUUAUAUACUAAACCCAAGUUUAACGUGAAAUCAUAUUAAAAAAGUGUACCCUUGUGCGAAUACAGUAAUUAAGUAACGCAAUAUAAAGAAAGCUUAUGUAACAAUAACACAUAAAUGGUACAAUGUCUACUCACUCACAGGAUAUAGUAAAUGUAAAUAUGCAGGAGAUAAUGCAACUGGUGGAGCUUCUUCGCCAGAAUGGUGACAUGAUCCUGAAUGCCGCAAGCAAGCUUUCCCUAUCAACAAACUUGCUACACAGCCUCAAUGAAGCAUUCUCCCUGAUUGUAUUGGAAUCUGAGGAUUUGGAGUCUUCAUUUCACGUUUGCAAUAGUUCCAAGAUAGAUAUAUUUCGUGAUAUCAAAUUCUUACACGACUUUGUGCAGAAAACUAUCAGUUUGAAGGUGACU